GACGAACGCUGGCGGCGUGCUUAACACAUGCAAGUCGAACGGAAAGACCCUGCUUUUGUGGGGUGCUCGAGUGGCGAACGGGUGAGUAACACGUGAGUAACCUGCCCUUGACUUUGGGAUAACUUCAGGAAACUGGGGCUAAUACCGGAUAGGAGCUCCUGCUGCAUGGUGGGGGUUGGAAAGUUUCGGCGGUUGGGGAUGGACUCGCGGCUUAUCAGCUUGUUGGUGGGGUAGUGGCUUACCCAGGGUUUGACGGGUAGCCGGCCUGGGAGGGUGGCCGGCCACAUUGGGACUGAGAUACGGACCAGACUCCUACGGGAGGCAGCAGUGGAGAAUAUUGCACAAUGGGCGGAAGCCUGAUGCAGCAACGCCGCGUGCGGGAUGACGGCCUUCGGGUUGUAAACCGCUUUCGCCUGUGACGAAGCGUGAGUGACGGUAAUGGGUAAAGAAGCACCGGCUAACUACGUG
This 468-nucleotide ribosomal RNA is filed under the name uncultured bacterium. RNAcentral describes it as "partial 16S ribosomal RNA". It matches the Rfam family "Bacterial small subunit ribosomal RNA", at positions 28 to 507 of the family's 1533-position model. The record is from RNAcentral.